GCGAUGGUAGCUCAGGGGUAGAGCGUCGGUCUGUGGCUCCGAAGGUCGUGGGUUCGAGACCCAUUCAUCGCCC
Molecule: transfer RNA, 73 nt
Filed under: Abditibacteriota bacterium
Lineage: Bacteria; Pseudomonadati; Abditibacteriota
Description: tRNA-His(gtg)
Rfam family: tRNA
About the family: Transfer RNA (tRNA) molecules are approximately 80 nucleotides in length. Their secondary structure includes four short double-helical elements and three loops (D, anti-codon, and T loops). Further hydrogen bonds mediate the characteristic L-shaped molecular structure. tRNAs have two regions of fundamental functional importance: the anti-codon, which is responsible for specific mRNA codon recognition, and the 3' end, to which the tRNAs corresponding amino acid is attached (by aminoacyl-tRNA synthetases). tRNAs cope with the degeneracy of the genetic code in two manners: having more than one tRNA (with a specific anti-codon) for a particular amino acid; and 'wobble' base-pairing, i.e. permitting non-standard base-pairing at the 3rd anti-codon position.
Source: RNAcentral